UCGGGUGCUACACUUAUUGCUUUUGAUUAAGAUGUAUGAUUGAGUUACUGAAUAUGACAUUUGUUGAGAGAAGGAAGAUUACCAUGGGUGAAUUGCAAGAGAGUAAAGAAUGAGGUGGUGGAUGAAGUGUGAAUGAAAGGUUACAUGCAUUGAUGUCUUGUUUAUUUGAUUUAGGAGUUUGAGAUAAAAUUAAUCUAUUUCAUUUCUUGGCAUGUUAGGAGAACUGUCUUAAAAAUGUGCUCUCCAAUGCGUAAUCAAAAUAUAUCAAAAUAGACAUUGGCAGGUAACUUAAAGUCAGUUUUAGUUAUACAAAAUGUGUUGGGGGUGGGGAUGAGAGUUGGGGAGGCUCGUAGAAAAGCUAAAACCCUCAAAACCAUGGACAUUUACAGGGCAGAAAAUAAAUGCAAUGUUUGAAGUUGAAUUCUCUAAAUGGCACCUGGAUUUGGGCAGCUGAAAAUGAUAGUAACAUUCACAAUGAAGAACUGAAAUUCUCCCCAAAGUAAUCAUGCUCUGAAUGUACAGUAGUCUUCUCCGACUAUUUGCUAAUUCUUCUGCUUUGCUAAAGGGUCCUGCUGGGCAUAUUACUGCCUCCAUUUUACAGAUGGAGAAAAAGGAAAUAAUGAAAUUCUAAACUGUACCAAUUCACGAAGUAAGUCAGUGACACAGGCAGAAACAGAAAACUAGAUCUUCUUGCUCCCAGACCAGAGCUCCAGUCAUCAAACCAAAUUCCUACCGUGUAGUCGAUUCUAAAUCCAGUUGCUGAUUUUUGUCUACAGAAUGGAACACAAGUGACCAAAUACACCACGGAGUUGAGAUUAUUAGCCCUCUUCAGAUGGUCUGGGCUGGCUUCACACUCCGGAAGGCUGGCUACCACUGAUGAGACUUUUUUGCAUGCCUCCUUCUCUUUUCUAAUCAGGACCAGCCAUUACAAAGCAGUCUUCCCCGCCCCAAGGC
This 954-nucleotide long non-coding RNA is filed under the name Homo sapiens (human). RNAcentral describes it as "non-protein coding lnc-TTLL7-10:1". The record is from RNAcentral. Lineage: Eukaryota; Metazoa; Chordata; Mammalia; Primates; Hominidae.